RNAcentral lists this ribosomal RNA (240 nucleotides) under uncultured bacterium. Its description in RNAcentral is "partial 16S ribosomal RNA". It matches the Rfam family "Bacterial small subunit ribosomal RNA", at positions 524 to 762 of the family's 1533-position model. The record is from RNAcentral.
UACGGAGGGGGCUAGCGUUGUUCGGAAUUACUGGGCGUAAAGCGCACGUAGGCGGCUUUGUAAGUUAGAGGUGAAAGCCCGGGGCUCAACUCCGGAAUUGCCUUUAAGACUGCAUCGCUAGAAUUGUGGAGAGGUGAGUGGAAUUCCGAGUGUAGAGGUGAAAUUCGUAGAUAUUCGGAAGAACACCAGUGGCGAAGGCGACUCACUGGACACAUAUUGACGCUGAGGUAGCGAAAGCGU